UGACUAUCAACACCAACUUACAGAAUUCCU
This 30-nucleotide non-coding RNA is filed under the name Mus musculus (house mouse). RNAcentral also lists the same sequence under 1 other name. Lineage: Eukaryota; Metazoa; Chordata; Mammalia; Rodentia; Muridae. The record is from RNAcentral.